CGGAGCCAAAACAGGAGUCGCGCGACUUUAGGCCUGGUUUUCAGGCGGGCCAUUGGCAAAACCAAGAGAGCUGCUGGGGGGCGAGCGCACAGGUCAACGUUCGAGAUCCGUCUGUCACAGUGGUGGGGGUGCUCGCUCGCCUUCCACGCUAGCCGGGUCUGUUUGGAGCCCCCUAGAAACAAUAGGCAAAUAAUGUGGCUUUCGCUCUGCUUCCCGAGCUCCCGGUAGAACGGCAAGGGGCACCUGCUCACGGAAGAGUGGUUCCCGUGGCGCCGGCCUGAACAGACCUGGUAUCACUUGAACACAACCAUGCUUUUAGAAGCGGACUACCACGAACGAACGUGGACGCAACCAGUGAACAGAAAUGUGUGUGCUGCCAUUAACGCGAGUGUAACGGAAAACUCGCGCUACUGCGUUUUUGUUGGUCGCAGGGAAAGAGUAUGCUUGCAAACGUCUGAGUCUUUCGUCCGCAGCCGCGUCCUUUAUUUCACUAUGCCGGGAGGUUUUCUUCGUAGCCAUAGAGGUGAGAAGCCAGUAAUUGUUUACCAAAUGGAGUCCUAAACUGGCUUCCGUUCUUAGCAUUCCUUUUUAUAGAUUGUUCUUUACGUAAGUAGAAGUGAAUGAAAGGGAUUCUACCAUCGUGUCACGGAAUUGCUUGAAUCCCUUCUGAAUUGUUUGCCAAAAAUAUAAAGCAAGGAAAAAUACAACGCUCUAUCGCGAUUUUAUGGUACCCUGGCUUUCCCAACACGUGUAUUUCAAAUUGUCGGAUUGUUUGGCGCCUUGAGGUUUUUACCGUAAUAAGAAUUUAUAACAAGCAAGAGGUAUACCUUCCUCUUGUAAAUAGUGAGAUGGGAGGUAAGAAAGGACAAAAGGACAUAAUGUCUUGACAGCUAAGCCACAAAUCAGUUUAGAAAAGAUAACGUGCAAGUUGAGGAUCUGGAAAUUCAUUUUAAAACUAUUUGUGCCUGAGCACCUCUUGGAAAUUCUUCUUGUAUCCCCAGGAGCACGCAUAUCCUUUUGAAUACCUCAGAUCUCAAUCCCUUAUGUGAGAAUCCCAUACAAGUGCCUACCCAGACCCAUGUGUCUUUCGAAGAAAACCAGAGUGAGCACAUUGCCCAUACACGUUGCAGCUUUUCAGCUUUAUGGAGAAGCAGAGAGAUCACCGAAGAGCAAUACAGACCAAGAAAAGGGGACUAAACUUACUUCAAGGAAGAUCUUUUAACCGGACUCUUCUGAUCUUAUCCUCCUAUUUAACAGAAAUGCCCUCAAGGAGAUGAAACUAUACUGAUAAGCCCUUUGGCGAACAUGCCUAGGGACCAUCCCCCACCUUAAAAACUCUACCUUUUGAAGUAUCAGUAUUCUGAUCACCCAAAAGCAAUGGCAUCCUCUGUGUCCUAAUUGACAUUCUUCCCCCUUCAAGUCAAUGUGUGUCUUUAAUAUGGGCUUCUAGGGAAAAUGCUUUUAACUCAAGGAGCAAUUAGAAUGGAAGGCAAAGAUGUCUUGGGAGGUUUUGGUGUCCUGGUGCCUAAAACUAGGAGUCAGAAAAACCCAAGUUCUUGACUUGGCAGAGAGAUGACAAGACCCCCAGGAGAAAAGUUGGGGUGGGUGGGGAGUUGCUUGGGAGUCACA
This is a long non-coding RNA of Callorhinus ursinus (northern fur seal), 1629 nucleotides long. RefSeq lists it as uncharacterized. The record is from RefSeq and is a predicted model, not a curated record. NCBI's taxonomy places the organism in Eukaryota, Metazoa, Chordata, Mammalia, Carnivora, Otariidae.